This 405-nucleotide ribosomal RNA is filed under the name uncultured bacterium. RNAcentral's name for it is "bacterial SSU rRNA". It matches the Rfam family "Bacterial small subunit ribosomal RNA", at positions 29 to 416 of the family's 1533-position model. The record is from RNAcentral.
AACUAACGCUGGCGGCGCGUCUUAAACAUGCAAGUCGAACGGUAGCCUUUGAGCUUGCUUAGAGGUGAGAGUGGCGAACGGGUGAGUAACACGUGGAUAAUCUGCCUCCGGGUUGGGGAUAACGUUUCGAAAGGAACGCUAAUACCGAAUAAGAUGGUGGUUACAUAUGUAGCAGCCAUUAAAGGUGGGGACCGCAAGGCCUACCGCCUGGAGAUGAGUCCGCGGCUGAUUAGCUAGUUGGUGGGGUAAAGGCCUACCAAGGCGACGAUCAGUAGCCGGCCUGAGAGGGUGAACGGCCACAUUGGGACUGAGAUACGGCCCAGACUCCUACGGGAGGCAGCAGUUAAGAAUCUUGCACAAUGGGCGCAAGCCUGAUGCAGCGACGCCGCGUGAAUGAUGAAGGCC